This 497-nucleotide ribosomal RNA is filed under the name uncultured bacterium. RNAcentral's name for it is "partial 16S ribosomal RNA". It matches the Rfam family "Bacterial small subunit ribosomal RNA", at positions 28 to 507 of the family's 1533-position model. The record is from RNAcentral.
GAUGAACGCUGGCGGCGUGCCUAAUACAUGCAAGUCGAGCGAACGGACGAGAAGCUUGCUGCUUUGAUGUUAGCGGCGGACGGGAGAGUAACACGUGUAACACCUACCUAUAAGACUGGGAUCACUUCGGGAAACCGGAUCUUAUCCGGGAUGAUCUUUUGCACCGCAUGGUUCGAAAGUGAAAUACGGUGUUGGUGUCACGUAUAGAUGGAUCCGCGCUGCAUUAGCUGGUUGGUAAGGUAAAGGCUUACCACGGCAACGAUGCAUAGCCGACCUCAGGGGGUGGUCGGCCACCCUGGAACGGAGACGCGGUCAAGACGCCUACGGGAGGCAGCAGUAGGGAAUCUGCCGCAAUGGGGGAAAGCAUGACGGAACAACGCCGAGUGAGUGAUGAAGGUCUUCGGAGCGUAAAACUGGGUUAUUAAGUAAGAACAUAUGUGUAAGUAACCGAGGACAGAGUGACGGUAACUAAUCAGAAAGCAACGGCUAACUACGUG